RNAcentral lists this ribosomal RNA (617 nucleotides) under uncultured bacterium. Its description in RNAcentral is "bacterial SSU rRNA". The stretch from base 1 to 535 matches the Rfam family "Bacterial small subunit ribosomal RNA", at positions 338 to 873 of the family's 1533-position model. The record is from RNAcentral.
CCUACGGGAGGCAGCAGUAAGGAAUAUUGGUCAAUGGACGCAAGUCUGAACCAGCCAUGCCGCGUGAAGGAUUAAGGCCCUCUGGGUUGUAAACUUCUUUUAUAGGGGACGAAAAAAGGGCAUUCUUGCUCACUUGACGGUACCCUAGGAAUAAGCACCGGCUAACUCCGUGCCAGCAGCCGCGGUAAUACGGAGGGUGCAAGCGUUAUCCGGAUUUACUGGGUUUAAAGGGUGCGUAGGUGGGUUGGUAAGUCAGUGGUGAAAUCUUCGAGCUUAACUCGGAAACUGCCAUUGAUACUAUCAAUCUUGAAUCAUCUAGAGGUAAGCGGAAUAUGUCAUGUAGCGGUGAAAUGCUUAGAUAUGACAUAGAACACCAAUUGCGAAGGCAGCUUACUAUGGAUGCAUUGACACUGAGGCACGAAAGCGUGGGGAUCAAACAGGAUUAGAUACCCUGGUAGUCCACGCCCUAAACGAUGGAUACUCGACAUUUGUGAUAUACAAUAAAGUGUNUGAGNGAAGACAUAAGUAAUCCACCUCGGAAGACGACCGCGAAGUAGUAAACGUUAAAGUAAGUAGUAGACGNGNGAGAGCGACGACGACGACGACGGAGGGAGGAG